CACAAAUCCCAGGAAACAAUCACGUCCCAGAAAACCAAAUCGCAGGCUACAGGAAAGGGAAAUUACACCAUUAUGUCAGGGCUCCAGGGAAGGAAACCGCCCAUCCAUUUCAGGUAUCUCCAUCAACCAAAUCGCAGCACUAUAAUUCAUGGCUAUCGCAGCACUAUAAUUCAUGGCUACAGAAAAGGAAAAUUACACCGUUAUGGCAGGGCUACAUAGAAGGAAACCGCCCGGCCAUUUCAGGGAUCUCCAUCAUUGAGGAUCAACAAUACCGGUAUAUACAUAGUACCUUGAACCAUUGUUAUGCCAGAUAACUCCUGGGAUCAUAACCACACCUCUUGCUGUUCGAAGAAUUCCCCAUCAAAGAAACUGCGGAUCAACAGAAAAAGUAAUCAUGGUUUGAACAAAUAGUUUCAUAUCUUCACUGAACAUUGCUCUUCAAGACGCAAUAGAAGGAUGGAACGAUGACAUUUUCUUAUGGCGCCGCAUCACAUUAUCUGGGCUGCCUACAAAUCAUGACAGCCACAUGUCAGGAUUCUUGGUGCUCAAAUUUAUGCGGUGGUGGGAUGGUCAAGAAGUUGUCCGAGCAAAGGGCACGGUUGGUUACGCCCUGUGGAACAGAGCGGUGGUACACAUUCUUUCAUACAAGGAUAACGAAAGUGGAGCCAACAUCCCGCAAUUUGUUACAAAUUUGGUCAAACUACUAGGAUCAGAAUUUUUUGUUUGAAAAGGUUGCCGGUUUGGCUAUUUUGAACAAUACCAGUUUAUUGUUUUUUAUUGUGUACUCCUAUAAAAGAAACUAGCGGAUCUGAUUUGAAUGUUGGAUGCUAUAUUUACUAUCCCUAUAUUUUUA
Lolium perenne is the source of this 853-nucleotide non-coding RNA. NCBI's taxonomy places the organism in Eukaryota, Viridiplantae, Streptophyta, Magnoliopsida, Poales, Poaceae. The record is from RefSeq and is a predicted model, not a curated record.